ACGGAGGGUGCAAGCGUUAAUCGGAAACACUGGGCGUAAAGCGCGCGUAGGCCGUCUUUUAAGUCGGACGUGAAAGCCCUCGGCUCAACCGGGGAACUGCGUUCGAUACUGGGAGACUUGAGUCCUGGAGAGGGUGGAGGAAUUCCGGGUGUAGGAGUGAAAAGCGUAGAUAUCCGGAGGAACACCGGUGGCGAAGGCGGCAAACUGGACAGGUACUGACGCAGAGGAGCGAAAGCGAGGGGAGAAAAAAG
This 251-nucleotide ribosomal RNA is filed under the name uncultured prokaryote. RNAcentral describes it as "partial 16S rRNA". It matches the Rfam family "Bacterial small subunit ribosomal RNA", at positions 525 to 775 of the family's 1533-position model. The record is from RNAcentral.